CCUACGGGCGACAGCAGUGGGGAAUAUUGCACAAUGGGGGAAACCCUGAUGCAGCGACGCCGCGUGAGUGAAGAAGUAUUUCGGUACGUAAAGCUCUGUCAGCAGGGAAGAAAAUGACGGUACCUGACUAAGAAGCCCCGGCUAACUACAUGCCAGCAGCCGCGGUAAUCCGUAGGGGGCAAGCGUUAUCCGGAUUUACUGGGUGUAAAGGGAGCGUAGACGGCAGCGCAAGUCUGGAGUGAAAUCCCAUGGCUUAACCAUGGAACUGCUUUGGAAACUGGGCAGCUAGAGUGCAGGAGAGGGAAGCGGAAUGCUGAGUGUAGCGGUGAAAUGCGUAGAUAUUAGGAGGAACACCAGGGGCGAAGGUGGCUUACUGGACUGUAACUGACGUUGAGGCUCGAAAGCGUGGGGAGCAAACAGGAUUAGAUACCCGAGUAGUC
This 440-nucleotide ribosomal RNA is filed under the name uncultured bacterium. Its description in RNAcentral is "partial 16S ribosomal RNA". It matches the Rfam family "Bacterial small subunit ribosomal RNA", at positions 338 to 795 of the family's 1533-position model. The record is from RNAcentral.